GGAUGGGGAAAUGGAGGGAGGGAUGGAAGGGGGGAAGGAUGGGAUGGAGGGAAGGACAUGGGAGGGAGGGAUGGGGGCUCGUUGGAAGGAUUGAUGGACGAUGGAUGGAUGAUGGACAGAUGUUUGGAUGCUUGGAUGGAUGGAUGGUGGGAUGGUGGGAUGGAUGGAAGAAUGGAUAGAUGGAUGAUGGAUAGAGAGAUGAUGGACGGGUGAUGCGUGGAUGCUGGAUGGACGUGUGAUGGAUGGGGCUGGCGGGCAGGGUGCCAGGCACAGGGCUGUCCAUCUGGGUCCCUGACACCCCCCCCCCCCGCCAUUGGCAGCUGGCGGCCCGCUGCCGGACCGGCUGCAGGAGGCGCUGAUGCCCGUGGUGGACUACGAGCACUGCACGCAGCCCGACUGGUGGGGCAGCCUGGCCAUCCGCACCACCAUGAUCUGUGCUGGCGGAGCCGAGAAGGCUGGCUGCAACGUGAGUGCCGCUCUGGGCUGCUCCGUGCUGGGGAAACCGGGGCACCCCAACCCCAGCCUGACCCCAACCCCAUCCCCAGGGCGACUCGGGCGGCCCCCUGAACUGCCAGGCUGAGGAUGGGCACUGGGAGGUGCAUGGCAUCGCCAGCUUCGUCUCGGGACUGGGCUGCGACACCCCGAAGAAGCCCACUGUGUUCACUCGUGUCUCUGCCUUUGAGGACUGGAUCGCUGAGACCAUACAGAACAACAGCUGAGAUGGGCAGCGGCGACCUCCCGACAUCGCAGAGGGCAAAUAAACCUGCAGAGCUGACCCCGUGCGUGUCCCGUGUGCUGGGGGAGAGCGGGUGUGCACACGCGUGUGUGCAGCCUGGCGCGUGCGGCGCCUGGCACAAGCGGCCGCCUUUGCCAGCAGAUGGCACUGGCAGAGCGGACGCGGGGAGCGCGGCUGCACCCGUGGCUGUGCCCAGGUGCCACGGGAAUGUGCGCCCAGAGACACCCCGGUGCCGUGGGGAUGAGCACCCAGAGACACCCAAACACCACGGGGAUGGGCCCAGAGGGAGCCCGGGGAUACCCAGGCACUAUGGGGACAAGCACCCCGGGGUGCCCCGAAGCUAUGCUGAUGGGUCCCUCGAGAUGCAGUGAGACCCACAGGGCAUGGACCUCUGUCCCGUGGCACCCUGACGCCAUUAGCACCAUGAGGUGCCCCGGUGCCACAAGGAUGGGCUCCAUCCUCCUCCCCAAGGCACCCUGAGGCCGUGGGGAUGGGCCCUUCUGAGGCCUCCCUUGUGCCAUGGGGAAGCUGUCCCCAUAGUCCCCAAGGUGCCCUGGCAGCACAGUGAUGGGCCCCCAAGGUGCCCUGAUGCCAUGGCGAUGGGCACCCAGUGACACCCUGAUGCCACGGGGAUGGGUACACAGCAGGAUCCCGAUGUCCCAGGGAUGGGCCCCCCUAAGGGGCCCUGAUGCCAUGUGUCAUCCCCCGGCCCCCCAGGUACCCUGGUGGGCACCCAGAGACUCCCAGGUGACACGGGGAUGAGCACCCUGAGGUGUCCUGCCACCACGAGAAUCGGCUCCUCCCUGAUGGCACCCUGAGGCCACGGUGACGGGCACCCCGAAACACCCUGAAGCUGGGGGGGAACGGGCAGGCUCUCAAAGACAACCAGGCACUAUGGGCACAAGCACCCCAAGGUGCCCUGAUGCCAUGGGGUGGGCCCCUCCGGGUGCCCCGUCCCUGGCGUGUGGCCACCACGGAGGCCCUGGGCCCGGCUCUCGCUCGCCGCCUCCUGCCCUCCCGGCCCGGCCGUCGCCUCGCAACCGCCGGCCGCGGCGCGUGACCGGGAACAAAGGGCCCUUUGACGGCGGCCCCGCCGCGGCUGGCACGCAUGGGCCCCCUGCUUGUCCCGUCCCGUCCCGGCGGGGACCCCCGUGUCCCCACGGGGAUGGGGCCACCCCGAGUCGGGUGGAAAAUCCCCAUCCCUGUCCCGCCGCGGGGCCGUAUGGUUUUAUUGGCCCUUGUCGCUGUGCUUGGGGGACCUUUGGUCCCCGCACGGGCCCUUUGCUCCGGCAGCUGAGGCCGCCCCGGCUCGUGACAACCUUGCACAACCGGUGACACCCUCAGGAGGCCAGGGACGGUGGGGACAGGAUG
This 2107-nucleotide long non-coding RNA is filed under the name Anas platyrhynchos platyrhynchos (common mallard). RNAcentral describes it as "lncRNA (ENSAPLG00000021172.1)". Lineage: Eukaryota; Metazoa; Chordata; Aves; Anseriformes; Anatidae. The record is from RNAcentral.